This 615-nucleotide ribosomal RNA is filed under the name uncultured Alphaproteobacteria bacterium. RNAcentral's name for it is "bacterial SSU rRNA". It matches the Rfam family "Bacterial small subunit ribosomal RNA", at positions 1 to 644 of the family's 1533-position model. Lineage: Bacteria; Pseudomonadati; Pseudomonadota; Alphaproteobacteria. The record is from RNAcentral.
CCGCGGGAUUAGAGUUUGAUCCUGGCUCAGAACGAACGCUGGCGGCAGGCCUAACACAUGCAAGUCGAACGCCAUAGGGAUACGGAGUGGCAGACGGGUGAGUAACGCGUGGGAACAUACCCUUCUGUUCCGAAUAACUCGGGAAAACUUGAGCUAAUACCCGAUACUUCCGCAUGUUUACAUCGACCUUGAAGAAAGAUUUAUCGCCGGAGGAUUGGCCCGCGUCUGAUUAGCUUGUUGGUGAGGUAAUGGCUCACCAAGGCGACUAUCAGGAUCUGGUCUGAGAGGAUGAUCAACCGCAUUGUGACUGAAACACAGCCUCAACUCCUACGGGAGGCAGCCGUGGGGAAUAUUGGACCAUGGGGGAAAGCCUGAUCCUUCCGUGCCGCGUGAGUGAUGAAGGUCUUACGGUUGUAAAGCUCUUUUACCCGGCAAGAUAAUGACGGUCCCUGGAGAAUAAGCCCCGGCUAGCUUCGUGCCAUCACCCGCGGUAAUACGAAGGGGGCUAGCGUUGUUCGGAAUUACUGGGUGUAAAGCGCACGUAGGCGGAUCUUUGAGUAAGGGGUGAAAUCCCUAGGCUCAACCUCGGAACUGCCUUUGAUACUGGGGAUAUCG